ACUUGCUGGGAGGCAGGGCCGGGAGAGCCCGACUUCAGGACAACUUGGGCCUGCGGCGGUCGCCGGGAGGCCCAACCUUGGCGUGGAGGAGCCCACCGACCGGAGACCAUUUGGGGCCUGGAGAUGCCAUCGGAGGGCAGGAGCUCAUCCUGGAGAGGCCACCGUGAGGCCUGACCUGGGCCUGGGGAGCUUGGCUUGAGGAAGCUGUGGGCCGACCAAGGCCGCCAGGAGAUGGCUAAAGAAACAGGCUCAGAGAAUGUUAUUUGAUUGGACCGUGUUGCAUUUCUGGACAGUGCAGCUGAGAUCAGACUUUGUGUGUAACUCCACUAGCCUACCAGGGUGCCUCUCAUAAAGAUGAAUUUCUUCCUCUGCUGAGUGCUCUAAAGACUCACUCCUUGGCACUCAGGGCCGUGGACAGGAGCUUUUUACUCACCAAUGAAGAACACCAAAUUAACACGACCCCCGUGCUGCCCUGAGGAAGUUGAAGCUCCUCGCUGCUUCUGGCACUUCAGCGGGAAGUUGGUUGGGGCGGGAUCGCGCGCCCUCUGGUGGCGCCAUGGUUCAGCACAGACGCUCUUGCUCACAGUUUCGCGGCGGAUGUGCGCCCCCUCCUGGCUGUCCUGAAAUACCUAUAAAAUUCAAUAUUCAGUUUAUUCAGUGUCAUAAUUUUGGAAAUUCAAACCGAAAUAAAGGCCAGUAUAUCCAUACCCUUCCCAUAAAUGGUGAUGGAAGAAUUAUUUGGAAGCCAUAUAGAAUGAAAUGACUCUAUACACAAAGUAAAACACAAAAACCUACUCAAAAUAGUCCAGAGACUACAACUUCAAAUGCAAAACUAUAAAUAAUCUAAAAGAAAACCUAAGAGACAUUGGAUCUGGUGUUGAGUUUUAACACACAGCAUCAAGUGCCAAUUCGUGAAAAUACUGAGAACAGACUUUAUAAAACUAAAUUUUCUACUAUGAAAAACCCUAUUCAGAGAACAAAAAGACAAGACACACUGUCAGAAGAUAUUUACAAAAUACAAACGUGAUUUUAAAAACUGUAUUGAAAAUACACAAAGAACUCUUCAAAGGAACACUAAGAAAACUAAAAACCCAAAUAAAACUGGGUAAAUAUCUGAACAGACAUCCAGCCAAAGAAAAUAUAUAG
Molecule: long non-coding RNA, 1146 nt
Filed under: Homo sapiens (human)
Lineage: Eukaryota; Metazoa; Chordata; Mammalia; Primates; Hominidae
Description: HSALNT0235610
Source: RNAcentral